GGUUUAGUACUUUAUAGAAGAGAAGAUCUGGUUUGCAACUAGAAAGAAGAUAAUUAUCUCUUAACCA
This 67-nucleotide transfer RNA is filed under the name Goniobranchus leopardus. RNAcentral describes it as "tRNA-Ala". Lineage: Eukaryota; Metazoa; Mollusca; Gastropoda; Nudibranchia; Chromodorididae. The record is from RNAcentral.